This 240-nucleotide unclassified non-coding RNA is filed under the name soil metagenome. Its description in RNAcentral is "partial contains 5.8S ribosomal RNA, internal transcribed spacer 2, and large subunit ribosomal RNA". The record is from RNAcentral.
AACCAUAGAAACCUGCGGAGUACCUGCGGAAGGAUCAUUACAGAGUUGCAAAACUCCCUAAACCAUUGUGAACGUUACCUAAACCGUUGCUUCGGCGGGCGGCCCGGGUCCUUCCCGGCGCCCAUCGGCCCUCGCGGGCGCCCGCCGGAGGUAAACCAAACUAUUGCAUUGUAUGGCCUCUCUGAGUCUUCUGCACUGAAUAAGUCAAAACUUUUAACAAUGGAUCUCAGAUCGGAAGAG